GGAGUGUUGUGGCUUCGGCGUUUUGCGAGAGAAUGGAGAGUGAGAGAGGCGUGGUGUGAGAGCAAGCCAGUAAGGGGAGGUGGUUUAGGGAUCGAGAGGAGAUACUACGCACAACAGCGGAGGGAGGGUGGCCGCAGCGGCGGAGGGAGGUCACUGCACGAAGCGGCGGAAGAGAGGGAGAGCGGGCACAGCGGAAAGGGAGGGGGGGCACGACGCAGAACGCACGAGGUUCCGGCUCCUCCUCGCGCCCGUGCCGCCGGAAUAGGAUGAGCUGUGGCCGACACUGUUUGCGGCCGCGAGGAGCAAUGGGAGAUAGACGUUUGUCCUCGAGGGCAUGACCUGCGAUGGCAGGGGGUGCCCGAUAGAUUCGGCCUCGGGGGGAGGUAGAGCUGCCGUGGGCUCUAACUCCGGCGUGGCCUUAGGGUUAGCGGAUGGUGCGAGAUGCGAGCUGCCGUUCUGGGUGUUCUAUUCUCAUCCCUACGCACAACGUCUCCCUUCUUGCUACACUAUACCUGUUACUACGUCGAGGACUUCUUCGCCAACGCCGCAGACGUGACUAAUCGACAUUCUGUCAAUGAGGUCGUGAAUGUCAUGACGCAGAGGAGUUAGAUCCAAAACGUCAUGUCAUCCCUACCUGAGACAUUGACUUUCCUCAUCGUGACUAACACAGCCCCGUUCCUCGCCCGCGCCGCUCGUCCUCGCCCGUUCCUCCACCACUCGUGGACCUCGACGUUCGUGGCCCGCUCCGCACUCAACGACCCGCUCCGUGCUCCACAACGGCUGCCGCUCCAAGUUUAAGUUUGACUAAACCCUCAACCUGUUACCAUGGGCAUUUUACCUCUCUUCAAGUACUAUAUCACACCUUUCGUUUAUAACGAGUGUGAUUGGAACGUUUACUUCAGUCUGGUCUUGACCUACUAACUACGUCCGCUUGUUUUAAUUCAAAACUCCAUGUGUAUAAACUCGUGGUACGGAACGGUUCGAAUUGUGAAAAAACUGACAUUCGAAAUGAAACACUAAGUACAGAACAUGAUAUACUGUCUACGCUUUGUAGUUCCUAUUGUUAUAUUUGUCAAACCCAGAUAUAUUCACAUACUUUCGUAGUAUAUGCAUUAAUCUUUCAGACCCGGUGUUUAGUUUUUCGUACUGUACAUGUAUGACAAGUAUGUUCAAAUCAGACCUUAUCGAGUUAAAAAAAAGAUUGUAAUCAGACUCUAGACAUGAUAAUUUCUCCCCUUAAAGGAGACUAAAUCAAUAAAAAAAACCCAUAAUGGCUGGGUAUGGUGCUAGAGUUAAAUAAAGAAUUGACUUAAUUGCUUGUAAAAAAUAUGAAUUAUUUUCAGUUUUACGUGUAUUAUUCACCUCAUUUCUUAUAAAUACUAGUCCCGAACAAAAUGGAAAAAAGAAGACACCAUGCAACGGGCAGCAAAUCGCAGAUAGAAUAGGGAAACAAGAACACUACCAUGUAUUAGCCUCGUAGAAGGAAAAGAAAAAAGAGGAAUAUUCGACGGGAAGAGGCGCACAAAUAUUACAGGGAAAAAAGAUAACUACUCCAGAACAAUACAAGAGGUAUUAGUACUUAACAUAGUCGUCAUGGAAUUUUGCAUAGACCGUACUUUUCAUACUUUUCAUAAUUAAUAUUUCGCUCUUCUUACAGAUCGUUUUCCGACUAAAAGUACUGGCAUGGGAGAAGGAAAAAGAAAGCUAUUCGUCGAGCGGAGGCCCGCAAAUAGUCGAGAGAGAAAAACAGCCACUUCGACAAAAACGCCAGUAAGUAGUGUUGAGUACAACAGAUCACGAGCCAACAACCAGAUCUGUGACUUGUAAGUGCUCGAUCUCGUAAUGCGGGCUGGACCAAAGGGUGUAGCUGUACCCUUCUAAGAUCUCGAUGACCUUGUUGUAUUAUCGGUAUUCGACUAAUUUAUAUACUUCUACUUGGGGGCAUUCCUGAUUAAUGAAGUGUAGUUUCUGCCUGCCCAUUAUGGUAAACUUGACAGAGCAUGUAACGACCGUAUCUUCUCACACUCUAAUGACCCUCGGCCGUUCCUUCGUGGUAAUACGUACUUACUCAAACGACCCAACAGACGUAGUACAUUUUUAUUGUUUUACUUUUUUUGGUGUUCCGUAGUAAUACAUGUUUCCUCUGACCUGGUGUGGACGGUCAAAUGACUUAGACAGGUUGUUAUCCUACAUUAUGUGUAUCAUAUUCUUAUGGACUGUAGCGUAACAUUCCAGCUAGUUGUAAACACUAUAGGGGCCCUCGCUCACACUCAAGUGACCCUCGGCAGUUGCUUCGUAGUGAAUUGGGUAGACUACACAACAACGGGGGGAGCAUCAGACAUUCCAUACUAUCUCUUAUAUGUUUUGGCUACUAAAAUAUGGUCUUCAUACAACUGCUAUAAACGUGUAUUAAUUUGGACCUGGGUAACUCAUUGAUAACAGUUCAAACAGUCGAUUCCCAUAUAAGAGACACAACAUAAGUAGUCGUAAACGAGGUUUCCUUACCGGACGUUGUGUAGUACAUAUGUGUGACACUCGUCCCGUACUACAAUCGGUACAACUGCUAUAAACGUAUCUUAAUUUGGACGUUUCUACCUCAUUGAUAGCAGUUCUAACAGUCGGUUCCCAUAUGAGAGACACAACAUAAGUAGUUGUAAACCGGGUAGGUGUACCGGACGUUAUGUAGUACAUAGGUUUUACACUCUUCCCGUACUAUAAUCGGUACCAUGUCGAUUUAGACUAUCGCCUUGUUGGACAUCCGUUUGGACGGCGGAAACAUAGAACUCAACCGAACGAAAAACUUAAAGGGUAUGCAUGGAUACUUAACGGUCUAGGUACUCUGAGGUUCUAGUAACGAACUAUAUACAUGAUGAAGUGACUAUGUUAAUACCAUGAUACUUAAAACAUCUGAAGUACUCCAACUCGUACCUAGUUCACCUGUUUACAGUCUACUUCAUUGCUUAUGACGUCAUUAACGGUUCUCCGGUGGAGGUCUAUUAAUAGGGUUCCAAAAUCUUAUACGCUGGAUUAAGGAACUGUAGUUUCUUUCGUCUAUGUACUUUAAGUCAGCUUCGUACUUUUUAUGAUAUAUCCUACAUCUCGCUUUCCAAAAAUAAGUAGAACCUCAAACAGAAACGAAAAAGUCCUACGUACUUUUUAUAAUUUCCUACAUAUCCCUUUCCGAUAAAAAGUAGAACCUCAAACAGAAACUAAAAAGUCCUACGUACUUUUUUUUAUUUCCUACAUAUCACUUUCCGAAAAAAAGUAGAACCUCAAACAGAAACGAAAAGGUCCUACUACUGUGCUUGCGGGUGUACCUUGAUUAUAUACCUAGUCGUUAGUUAGUUCAACGCUUGUUCCAGUACCGCUGGACUUGGCUGUACUUGUUCCAGUAGCGGCCGCUCGUGGGGCAGCUCCCGAUGGCGAUGGCGUUGUGUAAGCGUUUGGACCUCUCAACACCACCGGAGGUUGCCUACAUGCAUGGUACUUACAUUCGGCAAUUACACAUCGUGUAGAGGUUAAUGGCCUCAGGUUUGCCUAUGAGAGGAAAGAUAGGGAAAGAGAGAUGACAAGCUCUCUCCGCUGGUGCUCUCGCUGAGCCCGGGCCGGGCUAGGACCUAGAAACGGCGGCCGCUGCGGCCAGCCCUUCCUCUACCCUCUCCACGCACCACGAGACAACAUUUAUCAUCCGGAUCAGAUCCACAAAGGAAACACCUCAAACCGGAACACGGCCACAAACCGCAGUACGGCUACCUCGCGUUGGGUGGCGGCGAACGCGCGUCGCGGACCACCAGCGGCCACUGUAGAAGACGAGAAGAGGGUACCACCACCGCUUCCCCUCUACUACAAAGACCACGAUCGAGAGAUUUAUUCGCGCACCAGAAGCACGGGACCUAGACCUCUUUCCGGUCGGCUAAGAGGGCCAAAGAAGUUCGGCAACGCCACUACCUCGCCCUCGAACCCUCCUCGCCAGUAGACUUCUACAGUCAAGCCCAAGCUCGAGUUGUCGUCAUCGAUAACGCCACCCCCGCGACCGCGGACGACACCGCCAGCUACCGGCCAGCAGCGGCAGUAAGACGACGAAGAAGACCGGCUUCCCGCCGGUAGGGGUAAGGAGGGCCGGAACAUCGGUAAACCCUCCGUCUAGAAGCAAGGCCGCCAGCGGUACCGACCAACGAUACCGAGGGAGCAGCGGGGUUCACCAGUGCAGGGGCCGCUGCCGCUCCACAUAGGCGACUCUUGCUACACCUGGACUAGCGCAAAAAGUAGAAAUCCAACUCCAGGAAGAACGUUUUCAGGACCCUGAACAAGCAGCAAACAACAAAGAAGUCC
RNAcentral lists this ribosomal RNA (4332 nucleotides) under Triticum aestivum (bread wheat). RNAcentral's name for it is "partial small subunit ribosomal RNA". The record is from RNAcentral. Lineage: Eukaryota; Viridiplantae; Streptophyta; Magnoliopsida; Poales; Poaceae.